UCUGCUGUAUUUACCCAUCUGAUGUGUGCUAGAAGUAUUAACCAAAGAAAGGGGAUCAUUGUUUUCUUGAAAUUUGAAGCAAAAUUGAGACAUCAAGCAAGUCUCUUCAUAAGAAAGAAUAUAGGAAGGACAAGGUGGAGUGUGAAAAGGUGAGAGGAGGUUCCUGCCUACUGGCCUAUUCUUUAAGCAAAGAUGUGUUGAUUUCUUUAUUACAACUGUAUAAGAUUGUUUGUUUUUAAUUCCAGCCAACUAAUACUGCUUUAUUUAUCACUUGUUGACUAAGACUUGAAGAAACUUUUUAGCUGUUCAAGUUUCCACAUCUAAGCAUUUGUCAAUUUCCGCCCAUUAAUCUACCAACUACUGUUUUCAUGGGCAUUUUGCAUCAUCAUUGUCCUUAAUGACCACUUUCAUUUACAUAUCCUAGUGUUAAAAAGUGACUAUUAACAUCGAUCUAGGUGUCUUUUCCUUCCUUUAAAAGAAGGCAACAUACACAAUUACUGUAAUCCCCACAAUUACUAGAUGCCCCUCCAGAAAAGAGAUUACAACUUGACUUGCAAUACAUACCCCCAAAAAAUGAAGAAAAAUAACCAUCUUUUAUCCCAUGGUCACUAACUUUACCAAUCCUCAAGGGAAGUAUCAGAUAGGAACAAGAUUUUAAGGGCAGGCCGGUGUACAAAUCAUCACGCAUUAGCAGGGUCCGGAGAAGGGCCACACUCAAAAGGAAUGUGAUGUAAAUAACCUACCUUAAUGCAAGCAUUAAUGACUACUUCGGCCUAGUUUUAAAUAUUUAUAAGAAAGAAUAUAGGAAGGACAAGGUGGAGUGUGAAAAGGUGAGAGGAGGUUCCUGCCUACUGGCCUAUUCUUUAAGCAAAGAUGUGUUGAUUUCUUUAUUACAACUGUAUAAGAUUGUUUGUUUUUAAUUCCAGCCAACUAAUACUGCUUUAUUUAUCACUUGUUGACUAAGACUUGAAGAAACUUUUUAGCUGUUCAAGUUUCCACAUCUAAGCAUUUGUCAAUUUCCGCCCAUUAAUCUACCAACUACUGUUUUCAUGGGCAUUUUGCAUCAUCAUUGUCCUUAAUGACCACUUUCAUUUACAUAUCCUAGUGUUAAAAAGUGACUAUUAACAUCGAUCUAGGUGUCUUUUCCUUCCUUUAAAAGAAGGCAACAUACACAAUUACUGUAAUCCCCACAAUUACUAGAUGCCCCUCCAGAAAAGAGAUUACAACUUGACUUGCAAUACAUACCCCCAAAAAAUGAAGAAAAAUAACCAUCUUUUAUCCC
This 1282-nucleotide long non-coding RNA is filed under the name Capsicum annuum. Its description in RNAcentral is "long non-coding RNA (CANN_LNC006315)". Lineage: Eukaryota; Viridiplantae; Streptophyta; Magnoliopsida; Solanales; Solanaceae. The record is from RNAcentral.